UACGGGGGGGGCAAGCGUUGUUCGGAAUUACUGGGCGUAAAGGGCGCGUAGGCGGCGUGUUAAGUCAGCUGUGAAAUCUCCAAGCUUAACUUGGAACGGUCAGCUGAUACUGAUGUGCUAGAGUGCAGAAAGGGCAAUCGGAAUUCUUGGUGUAGCGGUGAAAUGCGUAGAUAUCAAGAGGAACACCUGAGGCGAAGGCGGGUUGCUAGGCUGACACUGACGCUGAGGCGCGAAAGCUAGGGUAGCAAACGGG
This 253-nucleotide ribosomal RNA is filed under the name uncultured bacterium. Its description in RNAcentral is "partial 16S ribosomal RNA". It matches the Rfam family "Bacterial small subunit ribosomal RNA", at positions 524 to 776 of the family's 1533-position model. The record is from RNAcentral.